This 501-nucleotide ribosomal RNA is filed under the name uncultured bacterium. RNAcentral describes it as "partial 16S ribosomal RNA". It matches the Rfam family "Bacterial small subunit ribosomal RNA", at positions 28 to 523 of the family's 1533-position model. The record is from RNAcentral.
GAUGAACGCUAGCGGCAGGCUUAAUACAUGCAAGUCGAGGGGCAGCACAGAUAGCAAUAUUGGGUGGCGACCGGCAAACGGGUGCGGAACACGUACACAACCUUCCUUUUAGUGUGGGAUAGCCCAGAGAAAUUUGGAUUAAUACCACAUAGUAUAUUGGAGUGGCAUCACUUUGAUAUUAAAGAUUUAUCGCUAAAAGAUGGGUGUGCGUAUGAUUAGGUAGUUGGUAGAGGUAACGGCUCACCAAGCCUUCGAUCAUUAACUGGUGUGAGAGCACGACCAGCCACACGGGCACUGAGACACGGGCCCGACUCCUACGGGAGGCAGCAGUAAGGAAUAUUGGUCAAUGGACGGAAGUCUGAACCAGCCAUGCCGCGUGAAGGAUGACGGCCCUCUGGGUUGUAAACUUCUUUCAUGUGGGACGAAAAAGGGCCAUUUCUGGUCAACUGACGGUACCAUAGGAAUAAGCACCGGCUAGCUCCGUGCCAGCCGCCGCGGUAA